Molecule: ribosomal RNA, 552 nt
Filed under: uncultured bacterium
Lineage: Bacteria
Description: bacterial SSU rRNA
Rfam family: Bacterial small subunit ribosomal RNA
Source: RNAcentral
CCCUUAGAGUUUGAUCCUGGCUCAGGACGAACGCUGGCGGCGUGCUUAACACAUGCAAGUCGAGCGGUAAGGCUCCUUCGGGAGUACACGAGCGGCGAACGGGUGAGUAACACGUGAGCAACCUGCCCUUCUCAUCGGAAUAAGCGUGGGAAACCGCGUCUAAUGCCGAAUACGACUUCGGAAGGCAUCUUCUGAAGUGGAAAGCUCCGGCGGAGAAGGAUGGGCUCGCGGCCUAUCAGCUAGUUGGUGGGGUAAUGGCCCACCAAGGCGACGACGGGUAGCCGGCCUGAGAGGGUGACCGGCCACACUGGGACUGAGACACGGCCCAGACUCCUACGGGAGGCAGCAGUGGGGAAUAUUGGACAAUGGGCGAAAGCCUGAUCCAGCAACGCCGCGUGAGGGAUGACGGCCUUCGGGUUGUAAACCUCUUUCAGCAGGGACGAAGCGAAAGUGACGGUACCUGCAGAAGAAGGACCGGCCAACUACGUGCCAGCAGCCGCGGUAAUACGUAGGGUCCGAGCGUUGUCCGGAAUUAUUGGGCGUAAAGGGCUC